AAACCUUAUCUAUUUUUAUUCGAACCGAAAAAUCCAAAGUUAUAUUAGAACCAUGCAUGUGAGUUUUAUAUUAAUAAAACGCAAAGUACAUAGUGUAAACACAUUUAUGAAUAUAGUGUAAACGCGUUAACAUACUUAUUAUCAAAUCAUUGUGAUGCUGCCACGUGUCAAUUAUAGUGUGAAUGCAUUUAUUACAAUGCUUAUCUUUUAAUAUCUAAGGGAUUCACAAAUCUAAUUAGGCAUAUAAAACCCAUAAAUGCAUCCGCGCUAGCCCUAGAAAAAAUUUAAGCAUGAACAUAAAAGGAUAAAUGGAACUAUUUUGAAGUAUAUGUAUCGUCCCUUGCUUCCCAAGCAAACAAAGGAACGUGACAGGAAAAUCCACAAGAAUCAACAAUAAGCGAGGAACAGUUACGGUUUUAACUACUCUUAUCUCUUCAUAACUUCUCUUGCUUGUUUCCUUCAACAUUGUGCGUCCGAUAUGACUACUACUAUUAAUAAUGUAAGUAAACACUACAAUUUUCUAAAGUUAUUUUCUAAAAUUUCUAUGUAAUUACUGUUAUAUGUAAUAAAAAUCCCGUCAAAAACAAAAGUUUAAUAUAUUUUACGUUUUGUGUACAGGAAAUUUGUAUCAUUAGGAAAUAAUUAUUUCCUUAUUUAUCGAUGUGUCUAGUUGGUGAUACUGCAGAAACAGUGUUCUAAAACGCGCUAGGCGUUAACUAUACCCCGUAUAUACGGAGUAUAUACAAAUAUAUGUUUUUAUACGAAAUAUAAGUAUAAGAUUAAUAUAUAUACAUUAUAUUUGACAAAACUGAACAUAAUAUAUUUUAGAUCCAAUUUUAUGUAUAAACAAGAUAUGAGCCUGUUGCGUUGCAACGGGUUUCGUUUAAUGUUUUAAUUUAAUAAAAAUCAUAAAAUAAUAAAUUAUUUUAUUAUAAUAUUAUGAUUGUUUUUUUGCAUAUGUUGUUUGAGAUUUUUUUAUAAUUAAAACCCGUUUUCACAAUUAAGUUCAAGGUAGUAUUUGUAUUUUAUAAUCAUGGUGCAUAGAUGAGUUGUUAUAAACUUUAUACUAAGGAUUAGAGAGAGUAUUAUACACAAACAUUUAAACUGAACACAAUCCGAAAUAUUUCCAAUUAAUAUUAACUAUUUUUAAAACUUGCAAUUUUCAAAUUCGUUUUUUCAAUAUCAUUUAUAUUUUUACAAUUUUUCUUGUUAAUUGAAUAAUUGUUACUAUUUUGUUAUCAUUAAAUUUUUGAAGUAAAAAUUACUAUUAAAUAAAAUUUUACAAUUCUCUCUGGUCACGAUUUAAAAAAAGAAGGAAAAAUUCUUAAUUGACUAAGAUUAGAAUAUAAUUUUCUUCUAGAAAUCGUUUUUAUUUAAGAUUUUAGGAAAAUAAUAAGUUAUUUUCACAUAAUGGAAGUUUUUAUUGACACAUUCACAAUCUAAUUUUUUAAUUGACAAUAUCACAAUCAUAUGAGGUGAAAUAUUUGAAGUUAAUUUUGGUUUAUAUUUUUUAACACAAAAUUAUUAAAAAGCAAAGUUAGUUAAUGAUAAGAAAAAUAAGAUUACUUUUACGUUUUAUUUUCUUUAAACGUUUAGAAAGAAAAUUAAUUAUUUUAUUUCUUUUAGAUUUUUAUACAUAUAUUUUAUUUUUAAUAGAAAAAUUAUGUUUAAUUAUUUAUAUAUUUUGACUUAUACAUACAAACACAUAUUUAUCAUAUUCACACAUACUCAUGUACAACAAUAACAUCAAAAUUAAAAAGUUAUGCUAGCAUCAUAAGAUGUAAUAAGGAUAAUAAAAAGUUGAGUUGUAUCAAGAAAUUAAAACAAAAUACUCAGAUAAUACUUUUCAUGUAAAUAUUAUUGUGUUUUGUAAAAAUAAUAUGUGGAAGCUUAAACCUAAAUAUAGAUGUGAAAUAUUUGUAGCUAUUUUUUGUCAUAGUUUUUUAACAUAAAAUUAUCUAUUAAAAAGGAAAGUUAUUUACUUAUAAGAAAACAAUAAGAUAAUAUUAUCUAUUUUAAAGUUAGUUUUUCUUCAUGUUUUUAUUAAAUAAUUUAUUGUACUUGUAGGAUUUUACAAUUCGUUUCUGUUUAACAUUUUUUUUCUUAAAAGUUAAUGUUUAUCUUUUAUAAUUAUCUAUCUUUAGUAUCUUUAAAAAAACAUUAUAAUGAAAAAAAAAUUAAUAAUAAUAAUAAUAAUAAUAAUAAUAAUAAUAAUAAUAAUAAUAAUAAUAAUAAUAAUAAUAAUAAUAAUAAUAAGGAAAAUACCUUAGAAUAACACUAAAAACGUUUUUGUCACAAAUAUAAACUCUAAA
This is a long non-coding RNA of Brassica rapa (field mustard), 2312 nucleotides long. RefSeq lists it as uncharacterized. The record is from RefSeq and is a predicted model, not a curated record. NCBI's taxonomy places the organism in Eukaryota, Viridiplantae, Streptophyta, Magnoliopsida, Brassicales, Brassicaceae.